Rhinichthys klamathensis goyatoka is the source of this 224-nucleotide long non-coding RNA. RefSeq lists it as uncharacterized. The record is from RefSeq and is a predicted model, not a curated record. NCBI's taxonomy places the organism in Eukaryota, Metazoa, Chordata, Actinopteri, Cypriniformes, Leuciscidae. The transcript has 3 exons.
ACUUAGAGGAGCAGGUCACAAACAUUGCUGCAGGUGCCAGAGAUGUUUCUGAAGACAGCCUUGCGAUGUGCCCUAUAUGCCAAAAGGAGUUGCCAUUGUCUGUAUUACCUUAUCAUGGCAGUUUAUGUGCUGAGAGAUCAUUCAGUACAAGGGUUUUUGAAGAUGACGUGGAGCAGCCAGGGCCAUCAUCUGCAGCUCAUUCAUCCCGUAUUUCAGGACCAGCA